AGUUAACGUUGGCGGCGUGCCUAACACAUGCAAGUCGAACGCGUCCUAAGGGCAACUUUAGGAUGAGUGGCGAACGGGUGAGUAUCACGUGGGUAAUCUUCCUUCAAGUGGGGGGAUAAGCUCUCGAAAGGGAGUCUAAUACCGCAUGACAUUCCGGGACACAAGUCCCGUAAUCAAAGCCGCAAGGCGCUUGAAGAUGAGCCUGCGUCCUAUUAGCUAGUUGGUGGGUAACGGCCUACCAAGGCUUAGAUGGGUAGCCGGCCUGAGAGGGUGAACGGCCACACUGGGACUGAGACACGGCCCAGACUCCUACGGGAGGCAGCAGUGAGGAAUUUGCGCAAUGGGGGAAACCCUGACGCAGCGACGCCGCGUGGAGGAUGAAGGCCUUCGGGUCGUAAACUCCUGUCAGAGGUGAAGAAUACCCGCAAGGGUUUGACGGUAACCUCAGAGGAAGCCCCGGCUAACUACGUG
RNAcentral lists this ribosomal RNA (471 nucleotides) under uncultured bacterium. RNAcentral describes it as "bacterial SSU rRNA". It matches the Rfam family "Bacterial small subunit ribosomal RNA", at positions 29 to 507 of the family's 1533-position model. The record is from RNAcentral.